GACAUACAAGGGACUGCGGUGGAAUUACGCUGUUCUUCGCACCUUCUGAGUUUUUCUUAAGGGAAACACGAAUAAGAUAGCUCACCAACUGAAAAUACCAACCUACAGAUAUCUCCAAAGACAUUGGAAUAUGAAAUGACACCUCUUCACAACCUCCUGGGCACUGAGGGAAACUGUCUUUAUCUAACAGGCACUGUGAAAACUACUUCUGGCCUUUGAUCCUGUUCUGGGAACCUCACGUGUGACCCGCACAUAAUUACGACCUUCACAGCCAGCAUUGGUGGGAUCUGUGUCGGGGCACCUGUGAUCUGGAAUGUUUCCCACCUGUUGAAAUAAGUAUUUUAUAGCUGCGUGAAAGGGGGGAAAAUAUGUUUAUUCCUGUUCAUUCCAUGGAGAUUUUGAAAUCGAAAUCAAAAUCUUAUCGCAGUCCCAUUUGCCAUCCUUCCCUAUUUUUGGUUCACUUUUGUGUAGUCACUUGGAGAAUGCCAUCAUGCUUGUGCUUUCUUCCCAAGGAAAUUGUGUUAUCAAAUAUAUAUAAUUUGUUGACCAACAGUGGGGGCUUCAUGAGAUUGUAAAGGAGCCAUAUACCAUAUUCGUCACAACAUCUGGGACUGUGCCUAAUCCUGGAAUUACUGGCAUCUGCAUAUCAUUUCAAUAGUAAAUUACAGCUGGGAUAUGCUAACCCCAAAGAGCUUUUGCUUCUCAGGCACUCACUUAUCUUCAUCCACUGCUCCUCCCUCGCCAGCCGACCACUUGCCAUCCUCAUCUCGCACGGUAACCCCAGGAAAAUCUUCCCAUGCGUUCCCUGGCAGCCAGACGCUGUUGUAGUCCACAUUGGCUCUUAGGCAGGCUCUGACCUGUGAAUGUUGUCGGAGCCGUGACCCGUUCCUUGUUCCGCUCAGCACGGCUUGCCUAAACAGAUGACCUUUAUGUGAUGGUAACCAUGAAACUUCUUGGCUUUGUCUCCUUCGAAGUCUCUAAGAAAUCUCUACCAUUACCAUGGAACAUUGCUGUCCAAAUGGAAAGUAGAAGGAAAUUGUUGGAUUUUCACUACAGCACAAUCUUCUGCAAGUGGCAGUUUCUUUGGUGGAUGGCUGAUAUUGCUCCAGCACAUUUAUACAAUGACCUUAUCCUAUAUAAUGGUUCACAUUUUCUUUGGGUUAUUACAGAUGCUUAUUCAUCAAAAGGAUUGUGAUUCUACAAAUGCUGAAAAGCCUUCAUCCCCAGAACUUCAGUGACGUCUUGAGCUGUUCACUAUUUGCAGGGGUAGAGUCUGCCUUCCCAGAAUUUCUCUUUGCAAGAGAAGGAAAAUAGGAUUUUUUAGGUGACUGUAACUAUAUGUUCAACGUACUGUUUAAGAGGUACCUGUCAUCUGUAGACAGCCCAGUCUGGUGAAAUGCAUCGGUGGAAUGAAGUCCUAAAGAAUGAACUAACACCAACACUCUCCACCCUCUUCUUUUUGUGUGUCUCUGCAUGGAAAGUCUCCUAAAUGGUUAGUAUUUCUCAUCUUCUGUGAAACUCGCUUUCUGUUUGGCUCACCAUCUACCACGUUCUCCCACCUGGUAUUGAUUUUGAUGGAGGUGCCAAAAUUACAUGACUGCUGCCUUUUUGUUAAAGAUCUUCACAACUGAAAUGCUUAAAACACCCUUAGAUAGUCAGUGCAUGAAUAAGAGACAAUUACGGUAUUUAAUUCAGAAACAUGGUGAAGUAAUUUUAUCAACUCCUAUGCAGUUGUGAGCACAGAAAAGUUCAGCUUCCCAUGUACUGCUCAAUAUACAACCUUGGAAGAAUGAAUUGAUAAGAGUCUGAGUUGUGCUUCCAAGAAAUCUAGAGAUUAUCCCAUUUGUGCUAGUUGUUGAAGUUGUUUCUGCGAGCCUUGACUUUCAUCACGUUAUCUAAAAGCUCCCUGAUAUGGAUACCAGGAAAAAAAUAAUCAAAAUUCGACUUUCUUCUUUAAACUUCAGUGCAGGAAGUAGGAGGUGGCUUGAGGAAGUCUAGUCCUUUCCACGUGAAGACUGGAAAGAUGCUGUCUCUGGCUUAAAGUUGCCAGCUUCUGGCAAGCUCAGCCACUGAUGGCUUGAGCCCUGAUCCUUGGUGAAGCCUAACAACCAUAAACCCCGCUUUGCCGGCUGGGCUCACCGUAACCUCAGAGAUCCGGGCAGGCAGAGCUCAGAAAUGUGUUUUAAUCAUUUAAUGAGUUUGAAAUACUCCUGGAAAAAAAAAAAAAAACACAAAAAAAACCCAAACCAAAACUUGCUAUUAGGCUCUAACCAUUACUAUAACAACGAUUACAAAGAAUACAAGUUUCUUUACACUAACCUAGAAUCUGUCCAACCAAAAAAAAAAUGCCGCUGCUUUUAAUCUAAAGUGAAUAAUUCAUGGUUUAGUUUAAGCAAUUAUAAGAAUAUAGACCGUUAUCUGCUUUGAUCUAUGUAAGUAAUAUACAUUUAAAGGGGGCAUGCAGCAAAAAAUAAAAGCAGGGAGUGUUUAUUCCUCUAGUUCUGCUUUUUAAAAAAAAUGUUAUGACUGUAUUUAAAGUGUCAACGUUUCUGAUAUCAGUAAAUCUAACUGUAGAUUAACGAAGUGGAGAUAAAUUAAGAUGUAAAUGAAUGCUACAUGGUAGGAAGGAUUAGGUCAAAGGUCUGAUCUAUCUGAAGUGCAACUGUUGCAUGUGUUUCCAUCCAGUAGUGCAAUAUCAAUUUAUUUGCACUUUGUUUUGAUGCAUCUAGACUUUAAAAUAUCCAAGAGGUGUAUAUUAUGUAUAAAAAGCUGAAAAGGAGUUAGGAAUCAUAUGACUGUUACUAUCUGGGCCCUGAUUCUGCUGCUGGGAUGUUGAUGCUUGGGGUAGAUGGAACCCAGCUAUGUUUUUCUAGGUGUGUAUGGCAACCUGCUGAUCGCUGUCUCAACAGAAUAAACUCUAAACCUUU
Long non-coding RNA from Chroicocephalus ridibundus (black-headed gull), 2927 nucleotides. RefSeq lists it as uncharacterized. The record is from RefSeq and is a predicted model, not a curated record. The transcript has 7 exons. NCBI's taxonomy places the organism in Eukaryota, Metazoa, Chordata, Aves, Charadriiformes, Laridae.